CCUACGGGAGGCAGCAGUGAGGAAUAUUGGUCAAUGGGCGCAAGCCUGAACCAGCCAUCCCGCGUGCAGGAUGACGGCCCUAUGGGUUGUAAACUGCUUUUAUACACCAAGAAAAACCCCGACGUGUCGGGACUCGACGGUAGUGUAUGAAUAAGCAUCGGCUAACUCCGUGCCAGCAGCCACGGUAAUACGGAGGAUGCAAGCGUUAUCCGGAUUCAUUGGGUUUAAAGGGUGCGUAGGCGGCCUUUUAAGUCAGUGGUGAAAUCCUGCCGCUUAACGGUAGAAUUGCCAUUGAUACUGAAAGGCUUGAGUACAUUUGAGGUAAGCGGAAUGUGUAGUGUAGCGGUGAAAUGCUUAGAUAUUACACAGAACACCAAUUGCGAAGGCAGCUUACUAAACUGUUACUGACGCUGAUGCACGAAAGCGUGGGGAGCGAACAGGAUUAGAUACCCUGGUAGUCCACGCCGUAAACGAUGCUCACUCGCUGUUUGCGAUACACAGCAAGCGGCCAAGCGAAAGCAUUAAGUGAGCCACCUGGGGAGUACGAUCGCAAGGUUGAAACUCAAAGGAAUUGACGG
RNAcentral lists this ribosomal RNA (578 nucleotides) under uncultured bacterium. RNAcentral describes it as "bacterial SSU rRNA". It matches the Rfam family "Bacterial small subunit ribosomal RNA", at positions 338 to 916 of the family's 1533-position model. The record is from RNAcentral.